RNAcentral lists this ribosomal RNA (497 nucleotides) under uncultured bacterium. RNAcentral describes it as "partial 16S ribosomal RNA". It matches the Rfam family "Bacterial small subunit ribosomal RNA", at positions 28 to 507 of the family's 1533-position model. The record is from RNAcentral.
GAUGAACGCUGGCGGCGUGCCUAAUACAUGCAAGUCGAGCGAACAGACGAGGAGCUUGCUCCUCUGACGUUAGCGGCGGACGGGUGAGUAACACGUGGAUAACCUACCUAUAAGACUGGGAUAACUUCGGGAAACCGGAGCUAAUACCGGAUAAUAUAUUGAACCGCAUGGUUCAAUAGUGAAAGACGGUGUUGCUGUCACUUAUAGAUGGAUCCGCGCCGCAUUAGCUAGUUGGUAAGGUAACGGCUUACCAAGGCAACGAUGCGUAGCCGACCUGAGAGGGUGAUCGGCCACACUGGGACUGAGACACGGUCCAGACACCUACGGGAGGCAGCAGUAGGGACUCUUCCGCAAUGGGCGAAAGACUGACGGAGCAGCGCCACGUGAGUGAUGAAGGUCUUCGGGUCGUAAAACUCUGUUAUUAGGGAAGAACAAAUGUGUAAGUAACUAUGCACGUCUUGACGGUACCUGAUCAGAAAGCCACGGCUAACUACGUG